Molecule: long non-coding RNA, 2515 nt
Organism: Peromyscus maniculatus bairdii (prairie deer mouse)
Lineage: Eukaryota; Metazoa; Chordata; Mammalia; Rodentia; Cricetidae
Source: RefSeq, a predicted model, not a curated record
UCCUCCUCCUCCUCCUCCUCCUCCUCCUCCCUCUCUCCUCUUUCUCCCUUCUUCUUUCUCUUUCUCCCUCCCCCCACAGGACUUGGAGAAUGGAUCACAGAAUACUGCGGCUAGGAACACAGACUUCCUAUCUGUGAUGAGAGGUUCAGCAUCCCAGGUGCCCCGUGUGUACCCUUAGGGAUCCGGAUCCUUCACUCAGCAGCAGUGCGAGGACACGCCAUGUCCCACGCUCACCCUUUGAGAUGCCAAGGUACCUGGCUUUCCUAUUGCAGUCACAGCACCUUAAGGACAUGGAGGCGCAGCGGGGAACAUAGGGGUCUGACAGCCCAGGGCAAGACGCCGGCACCAGGCGCCCCCGAGAUCUGGGCGGGGCAGCGGAGUCGGGGGCGCGCGGCCCGGGCUGAUAGGAACGCGCACAGCCUCCGGGAGUUCGCGGCCCAGUGUGCUCCAGCCCCAGAGCCAGCCAGCGUGGCGCGAACUCAGUGGGAUGCGGUGCACUGAGAGGAUCCCAAAGGCCACGAGGCGCCUGGCACACCCCAAGACGCGCGGCUCAGCGCCAUCCUCCUGUCACACCCCACUUGCUUUUCUCGAUUUCAAUGGUCCCGAGCCACAAGCAGGUGUGGGAUACAAUCCCUCUGCUCCAAGUGGCACCGACCCCUUGGCGGUCAAUUCGGACAACGGCCGGCCGGCUCGAGAGGGCCAGGGCCCAGGUCAGAUGCAAGCCAGAGCAGGACGCGCUGCCCCUGCAGGCAGCCAGCUUGGUUUUCCACAAGCAUCAAGAGACGUGGAAAUCUGUAUGGACCACAGGUCCAGUAUGAUUGUUGGGAAACAGCUCCUUCCUGGAAUUGCUUUGGAAUUAAAAGUAGAACAACAUUGAGGAAAUAGGCUCCAAUUGAUUGAGUGAACAGCCACAGUCCAGCAAGCUUGCCUUCCUGUGAGGAGUCUACAAAGGAGCCACUGUGAAGUGGCUGUUCUGAUAUUCUAUUGCAGAUGAAGAUGUCAGCCCAGGCAGUCCGGAUUAAUCUCCAUGGCCCUAUACCUAGUGGCAUGCUCCAUCUAUUUGACCAUGUGAACUGCUCCUCAUGAGAGCACAGGCCAGCUGGAAAUGGGGCUUCACUCACGGCCACUCUCCCCCCCAGGCCUGAAGCCAUCUUUCAUCUACUUGGCAUCUGGUGUGGAAUCCCUUGGCUUCAUAAAAAUGAUACAGACUUGUUGUCAUUUUACAUACAUGUGGCUGUGGUCUCCCUUUCUGUAGUUUGUUAUCUACAAUAAAUUGUAGACCAGAAGUCUUAAAUGGAAAAUUCCAGAAAUAAAAACAAUUCAUGAGUUUAAAAUUACACAUUGGGGAAAUGCGACGAACUCAUAUGCCACCGGCACUGCCCUGGAUAUAUUCAGUUGUCCAGUGUUUCCAAGCUGUAUAUGCUACACUCCAUCAGGUACUUAGCUGUUCAGUUGAUAUCUAGCACUUUCAUCCAAGUAAGCCUUAUUUUACUUAGUAAUGGCCCCAAAGCACAAUGCUGGCAAUUUAGAUGCGCCAACGAAAAGCCACAAAACGCUUCAAGUGAAAAGAAAUAAUAUAAUAAGUAAUAAUAUCGUAUAAUGACAUCGUACGCUGAGGUUGCUAAGAUCUGUGGUAAGAACGCAGUACACCAGAGUUCUGCACUGUCCCCGACUGAGGCAUCCACUGAGGGCCCUGGGAGAUGUCAUCAGCAGGUAAUGGAGCUGUUGUAUACAGACUGCCUCACCCUCACACACAUACAUGAUAUGCCCACACUAAGCUACAUACAAACUACUCAACACACACAGCUUAAACAUGUGCUUGUACAACAUGUAUACCAUCUCCCAUGCACACCACCCUAUAUAGCUCACACACAUGCUCACAUUAAUACCCACACAACCACCUCACCUACUACACACAUACACACAUACUUUACACAGUAGUGGCACUAAUCCCCUGCCUCACAUACAUGCAUAUGCAGCUCACAGGCACACAAUAACCCAUAUGCAUACUAACUCAUACACAUGCUCAGACAGCUCAUACGCAUGCCCAUAUUUUUCACAUAUAUGCACAUAGCUGACUCAUCAUAUUAACCUAUCCAUACAUUCUCCCACUGUUCACCUACAUACACAGUACCUCACAUGCAUGUUCAUGCAGCUCACAAACAUGCUCACAGAUGCACACAUAGCACAAUACACACAUAUACACAUAUAUUCAUACUAACACAGGUGCUGAUGACCUCACAUAUAUGCACACAUUUAUAUACUUUAUAUGCAUACUCAUGCAGUUUACUCACAGUCUUACACGGUAACACACAUACAUGUCCUUUAGUCACCCAUGAACUGUUGAGCCUUUGCACAUGUGGAAAUAGGUGGGCAUUGGCUUGUAUCCCCUUAGCUGCUAUUCUAGAUUUCAUUUUUUUUCUCUCUCUCCCAGGACCCAUGUGAAUUGUGCAUUUCUAUUCCAGUUAUAUGGCUGAGGAAACUGCUAUGAAAUAAACAAAAACUUGCAAAUGGA